AGUUUGAUCCUGGCUCAGAUUGAACGCUGGCGGCAUGCCUUACACAGGCAAGUCGAACGGCAGCACGGACUUCGGUCUGGUGGCGAGUGGCGAACGGGUGAGUAAUGCAUCGGAACGUGCCAUUGAGUGGGGAUAACGUAGCGAAAGUUGCGCUAAUACCGCAUAUUCUGUGAGCAGGAAAGCAGGGGACCGCAGGGCCUUGCGCUCUUUGAGCGGCCGAUGUCAGAUUAGCUAGUUGGUGAGGUAAAGGCUUACCAAGGCGACGAUCUGUAGCGGGUCUGAGAGGAUGAUCCGCCACACUGGAACUGAGACACGGUCCAGACUCCUACGGGAGGCAGCAGUGGGGAAUUUUGGACAAUGGGGCAACCCUGAUCCGGCCAUGCCGCGUGAGUGAAGAAGGCCUUCGGGUUGUAAAGCUCUUUCGGCCGGGAAGAAAUCGCAUGGGCCAAUACCCUGUGUGGAUGACGGUACCGGAAUAAGAAGCACCGGCUAACUACGUG
RNAcentral lists this ribosomal RNA (500 nucleotides) under uncultured bacterium. RNAcentral's name for it is "bacterial SSU rRNA". It matches the Rfam family "Bacterial small subunit ribosomal RNA", at positions 10 to 507 of the family's 1533-position model. The record is from RNAcentral.